AUCCCUUUGUAGUUCAUAAGCAUGAUGAUCAGGUUUUCAGGCACAUGUGUGCAGUGUGUCUCCCUCAAACUUUGUUAGGAUGCCAGCAAGCUACCCAUCAGACU
This is a non-coding RNA of Callithrix jacchus (white-tufted-ear marmoset), 104 nucleotides long. NCBI's taxonomy places the organism in Eukaryota, Metazoa, Chordata, Mammalia, Primates, Cebidae. The record is from Rfam.